GACGAACGCUGGCGGCGUGCUUAACACAUGCAAGUCGAACGGAAAGGCCCUGCUGUUGUGGGGUGCUCGAGUGGCGAACGGAUGAGUAACACGUGAGUAACCUGCCCUUGACUUUGGGAUAACUUCAGGAAACUGGGGCUAAUACCGGAUAGGAGCUCCUGCUGCAUGGUGGGGGUUGGAAAGUUUCGGCGGUUGGGGAUGGACUCGCGGCUUAUCAGCUUGUUGGUGGGGUAGUGGCUUACCAAGGCUUUGACGGGUAGCCGGCCUGAGAGGGUGACAGGCCACAUUGGGACUGAAAUACGGCCCAGACUCCUACGGGAGGCAGCAGUGGGGAAUAUUGCACAAUGGGAGGAAGCCUGAUGCAGCAACGCCGCGUGCGGGAUGACAGCCUUCGGGUUGUAAACCGCUUUCGCCUGUGACGAAGCGUGAGUGACGGUAAUGGGUAAAGAAGCACCGGCUAACUACGUG
Molecule: ribosomal RNA, 468 nt
Filed under: uncultured bacterium
Lineage: Bacteria
Description: partial 16S ribosomal RNA
Rfam family: Bacterial small subunit ribosomal RNA
Source: RNAcentral